GGAGAUGUAGCUCAGCAGUAGAGCUCUUGCCUGGUAUGCAUGUGGUCCUGGGUCUGAUCCCCAGUACCG
This 69-nucleotide transfer RNA is filed under the name Heterocephalus glaber (naked mole-rat). It matches the Rfam family "tRNA". From Rfam's summary of the family: Transfer RNA (tRNA) molecules are approximately 80 nucleotides in length. Lineage: Eukaryota; Metazoa; Chordata; Mammalia; Rodentia; Bathyergidae. The record is from Rfam by way of RNAcentral.